GCCGAAAGUCCAAGGGUUCCUGCGCAAUGCUAAUCAGCGCAGGGUUAGUCGGCCCCUAAGGUGAGGCAGAAAUGCGUAGCCGAUGGGAAUCACGUUAAUAUUCGUGAACCAGAUGGUAGUGACGGAUCGCGCAGGUUCGUAUCCCCUUAUUGGAUUGGGGGUGCGAUGAGCCGGUUCCAGGAAAUAGCUCCAUCGACAUUGACCGUACCCUAAACCGACACAGGUGGACUG
This 231-nucleotide ribosomal RNA is filed under the name Aulacoseira subarctica. RNAcentral describes it as "partial Bacterial large subunit ribosomal RNA". It matches the Rfam family "Bacterial large subunit ribosomal RNA", at positions 1336 to 1670 of the family's 2925-position model. Lineage: Eukaryota; Bacillariophyta; Melosirophyceae; Melosirales; Aulacoseiraceae. The record is from RNAcentral.